This 253-nucleotide ribosomal RNA is filed under the name uncultured bacterium. Its description in RNAcentral is "partial 16S ribosomal RNA". It matches the Rfam family "Bacterial small subunit ribosomal RNA", at positions 524 to 776 of the family's 1533-position model. The record is from RNAcentral.
UACGGAGGGGGCUAGCGUUGUUCGGAAUUACUGGGCGUAAAGCGCGCGUAGGCGGAUCUGCAAGUCGGGGGUGAAAUCCUGGAGCUCAACUCCAGAACUGCCUUCGAUACUGGAGAGCUUGAGUCCGGGAGAGGUGAGUGGAACUGCGAGUGUAGAGGUGAAAUUCGUAGAUAUUCGCAAGAACACCAGUGGCGAAGGCGGCUCACUGGCCCGGUACUGACGCUGAGGUGCGAAAGCGUGGGGAGCAAACAGG